UAGUACUAUACUUUCAGGGAUCAUUUCUAUAGUAUCCAACUAGAGAAAUUCACUCGAAAGUGAUCGGCUGAGUA
RNAcentral lists this small nucleolar RNA (74 nucleotides) under Notechis scutatus (mainland tiger snake). RNAcentral's name for it is "Small nucleolar RNA U3". It matches the Rfam family "Small nucleolar RNA U3", at positions 1 to 74 of the family's 219-position model. Rfam says of the family: Small nucleolar RNAs (snoRNAs) are involved in the processing and modification of rRNA in the nucleolus. There are two main classes of snoRNAs: the box C/D class, and the box H/ACA class. Lineage: Eukaryota; Metazoa; Chordata; Lepidosauria; Squamata; Elapidae. RNAcentral also lists the same sequence under 1 other name. The record is from Rfam by way of RNAcentral.